GGGCCCGCACAAGCGGCGGAGCAUGCGGAUUAAUUCGAUGCGACGCGAAGAACCUUACCUGGGUUUGACAUGGCCGCUAAAGCCACAGAGAUGUGGUGUCCUUCGGGGGCGGUCACAGGUGGUGCAUGGCUGUCGUCAGCUCGUGUCGUGAGAUGUUGGGUUAAGUCCCGCAACGAGCGCAACCCUCGUUCCAUGUUGCCAGCGGGUAAUGCCGGGGACUCAUGGGAGACUGCCGGGGUCAACUCGGAGGAAGGUGGGGAUGACGUCAAGUCAUCAUGCCCCUUAUGUCCAGGGCUUCACGCAUGCUACAAUGGCCGGUACAAAGGGCUGCGAUACCGCAAGGUGGAGCGAAUCCCAAAAAGCCGGUCUCAGUUCGGAUCGGGGUCUGCAACUCGACCCCGUGAAGUCGGAGUCGCUAGUAAUCGCAGAUCAGCAUUGCUGCGGUGAAUACGUUCCCGGGCCUU
RNAcentral lists this ribosomal RNA (464 nucleotides) under uncultured bacterium. Its description in RNAcentral is "bacterial SSU rRNA". It matches the Rfam family "Bacterial small subunit ribosomal RNA", at positions 917 to 1382 of the family's 1533-position model. The record is from RNAcentral.